GCGAUACCAUUUGGGUGGGUUCACAUCCCACUUGGGGUCAUGUGGACGAGCAAAAUAAUCUCCGUACAAACGUUUCCUCACGCUAACAUUGAAGAAAAAGAAAUAAUGGUACACAAAGAAGAACACAAAAGGCCAUCCUUCGAGGUAGCCAUUGAAAUGGGCAGGAGGCACAAGGGUUAGCCAAGUAAAAACUGAGGUGACAAGGGCAAGUUGCUCAAAAAUGCUCGCUUCACCCAACGAAUGUUUAUAAAAGCAAUACAACCCGUAAAACGCAAGUGAUAUAGCCACAAACCACGGCCAAAAUAACCACGUCCAGCUAAAAUACAUCCAGAAAAAUGGGUCCAAGAGCAAAUUCACUGUCCACUUUGCGGCUGCAAUUGCAAUCGAGAAGAAAACAGACCACUUGAUGAUAUCAACUGGAGUUAAUUGCAAAAGGGUCGUUUUCACUUCAUCAAGAGAGAGGUUUUUCAGACGCAUCAGCCAUGGGUGGUUUUGUGGGUAGUCUGUGCUUGUAGAGCCGGUGUAAGAGCAUUUGACAGGAGAUAUCAAAUGGUUUCUCGUCAAUUUUAAUCGUGAUGAUGACUGAUACAGUGAAAAAGAACGAUUUAAGGAGUUUUUGCUGGGUUUGUGGACCUGAUGACACUGAAAGUUGAUAUCGCAACGAUGCAAUUGAAGGUGUUUGUUGAAAUGUCUGAGAGAAACUCUCUUCUUACCAUAGUCGUUGACGCUGUUUGCCCGAGCGAAACUAAAAGGGAUUGCUCUCGAGUGAAGUAUAAAAGAUGAAGUUUCCAUUGCUGAGUAAAUAAAAGGACAGUGAGCUUCCGGAGAAUUGGGGAGGUUUCUACAUCAGUUUUAGUACGGCCUCACUCAGAC
Molecule: unclassified non-coding RNA, 873 nt
Filed under: Hevea brasiliensis (rubber tree)
Lineage: Eukaryota; Viridiplantae; Streptophyta; Magnoliopsida; Malpighiales; Euphorbiaceae
Source: RNAcentral